Molecule: ribosomal RNA, 408 nt
Filed under: Klebsiella pneumoniae
Lineage: Bacteria; Pseudomonadati; Pseudomonadota; Gammaproteobacteria; Enterobacterales; Enterobacteriaceae
Description: bacterial SSU rRNA
Rfam family: Bacterial small subunit ribosomal RNA
Source: RNAcentral
UCCGGCCGGGAACUCAAAGGAGACUGCCAGUGAUAAACUGGAGGAAGGUGGGGAUGACGUCAAGUCAUCAUGGCCCUUACGACCAGGGCUACACACGUGCUACAAUGGCAUAUACAAAGAGAAGCGACCUCGCGAGAUCAAGCGGACCUCAUAAAGUAUGUCGUAGUCCGGAUUGGAGUCUGCAACUCGACUCCAUGAAGUCGGAAUCGCUAGUAAUCGUAGAUCAGAAUGCUACGGUGAAUACGUUCCCGGGCCUUGUACACACCGCCCGUCACACCAUGGGAGUGGGUUGCAAAAGAAGUAGGUAGCUUAACCUUCGGGAGGGCGCUUACCACUUUGUGAUUCAUGACUGGGGUGAAGUCGUAACAAGGUAACCGUAGGGGAACCUGCGGUUGGAUCACCUCCUUA